GAUGAACGCUGGCGGCGUGCCUAAUACAUGCAAGUCGAGCGAACAGACGAGGAGCUUGCUCCUCUGACGUUAGCGGCGGACGGGUGAGUAACACGUGGAUAACCUACCUAUAAGACUGGGAUAACUUCGGGAAACCGGAGCUAAUACCGGAUAAUAUAUUGAACCGCAUGGUUCAAUAGUGAAAGACGGUUUUGCUGUCACUUAUAGAUGGAUCCGCGCCGCAUUAGCUAGUUGGUAAGGUAACGGCUUACCAAGGCAACGAUGCGUAGCCGACCUGAGGGGGUGGUCGGCCACACUGGAACUUAGACACGGUCCAGACUCCUACGGGAGGCAGCAGUAGGGAAUCUUCCGCAAUGGGCGAAAGCCUUACGGAGCAACGCCGCGUGAGUUAUGAAGGUCUUCCGAGCGUAAAACUCUGUUAUUAGUGAAGAACAAAUGUGUAAGUAACUAUGCACUUCUUGACGGUACCUAAUCAGAAAGCCACGGCUAACUACGUG
Molecule: ribosomal RNA, 497 nt
Filed under: uncultured bacterium
Lineage: Bacteria
Description: partial 16S ribosomal RNA
Rfam family: Bacterial small subunit ribosomal RNA
Source: RNAcentral